Long non-coding RNA from Alligator mississippiensis (American alligator), 1159 nucleotides. RefSeq lists it as uncharacterized. The transcript is spliced from 3 exons. The record is from RefSeq and is a predicted model, not a curated record. Lineage: Eukaryota; Metazoa; Chordata; Crocodylia; Alligatoridae.
UUUAUUCUUUUGGUUUGCUCAUUGAAAAACAUGGGAAGUUGCAUAUGUGUACACACUUACCCACAUGCAUACCCCCCACAUGCACACAUGCAUGUGUACAUGUGCACACAUGCACACACGCACAGAACUCCAUAAAAAGAACAUGAUUAAAGUUGCUAAGUGAAGCUUUUGCCAAUUAGGAAAUGCCAGAGUUAAGGCUGCCCCUGAAACCUUGGUUUGCCUCUAUUAUGUAUAUGUAUAAAGUCUUUAAUUACACAGUCACAUUCAGGACUCAGGAUGGACCUGCCCUGAGGCUCACUCAGGCUUGCACAGUAGAAAGGGCUGAAUCUUUGGAUGCUAUAAUGAGUUGAGGAAUCUAUGAGCAUUUUAGGAAUUUUAUUUGAGAUUGCAAACCCUGUAAAUGCUAACAAUAAAUUAUCUCCACCACUGGUAUGUAAUCACACAGGCCAGCUUCUUCUCACCUUCAUCAGGAGCAAUGAAAUCACCUGUCAGAAAGACAUGGUCAGCUGUUGGGCUUGAUUUGGAGGUCACCUGACAGAGCAGGUGGGAAGGUUAUAAAAGAGCAGGAAUGGCUCUGUUUGGGGGUUUCUUUCUUGGUGUUUCACCAGCUUAGGGGAAGAGAGGCACAGCUGGAGCCAAAUGAGGGGCGAGAGCUGCUAAGUUAUGGGUGACAGAGAGGGAGAGGCCUCUCAUGUGGAUAGAGUUAAGCAAGGAAGGGGGCUUUUAGGCUUAAAGGAGACUGAGGGGCUGCAAUAUGCCUAAGGAGAGGUGCAGUUGGGCUGCAGGUGCUACCUUGCAGGCUGAGAUGGCAAACACAGCAGCUGUACUCUGGGAGCAAGUCUGGUGAUCUAUGCCAAGGGCAGUGUGCAGGUUCUCUCUCCAAACUCCGAAGCUGAAGUGCACCAGGCUGGGACACAAUACUGGGACAAAUACAGCAGUCUGCUCGAGUGUCAGCGCUGGAUAGAUGGAUUGGGGGGUCUGGGAAGACAGUGCUACACAUCUCUGCAUCAUCGUUUGUGAAAACUUCAAGGAAAAUGCCUUUGCAGUAAAAUUACCAGAAACUGCUUUUCUCAGACAAAACCUCUUGGACUGGAUAUUCACGUUCAGGCUAUGUUGCAGUGUUCUCCAGCCCAUUUUCUCCCUCUUCCUUGUCCUCUGC